CACGUAGGGCGCAAGCGUUGUCCGGAAUUAUUGGGCGUAAAGAGCUCGUAGGCGGUCUGUUGCGUCCGCUGUGAAAACUCGGGGCUUAACCCCGAACUUGCAGUGGGUACGGGCAGACUAGAGUGUGGUAGGGGAGACUGGAAUUCCUGGUGUAGCGGUGAAAUGCGCAGAUAUCAGGAGGAACACCGAUGGCGAAGGCAGGUCUCUGGGCCAUAACUGACGCUGAGAAGCGAAAGCAUGGGGAGCGAACAGG
This 253-nucleotide ribosomal RNA is filed under the name uncultured bacterium. RNAcentral's name for it is "partial 16S ribosomal RNA". It matches the Rfam family "Bacterial small subunit ribosomal RNA", at positions 524 to 776 of the family's 1533-position model. The record is from RNAcentral.